UAGGGAAUCUUCCACAAUGGGCGAAAGCCUGAUGGAGCAACGCCGCGUGAGCGAUGAAGGCCUCGGGUCGUAAGCUCUGUCCUCAAGGAAGAUAAUGACGGUACUUGAGGAGGAAGCCCCGGCUAACUACGUGCC
RNAcentral lists this ribosomal RNA (135 nucleotides) under uncultured bacterium. RNAcentral describes it as "partial 16S ribosomal RNA". It matches the Rfam family "Bacterial small subunit ribosomal RNA", at positions 355 to 509 of the family's 1533-position model. The record is from RNAcentral.